GGCAUUCUAACACUAGACUAAAACAAGACUGCUGAAAGCCUGGAAUGUGCUGAAAAUCUAUCAGCUUCGUCCAUGACAUCAUAAACAUGUAUGACAUCAUAAACAUGUGGGACAUCAUUGAGUUCCAUGUGAGUAGUGGAAAAGACAAUUAUACGAUUAAAGGUACAGUCAGUCAGCAUGUAAUAUGAUAUAGAGAUGAUGUUUUUAGAGGUAU
This is a non-coding RNA of Pelobates cultripes (western spadefoot toad), 214 nucleotides long. NCBI's taxonomy places the organism in Eukaryota, Metazoa, Chordata, Amphibia, Anura, Pelobatidae. The record is from the annotation of a GenBank genome assembly.